This 201-nucleotide long non-coding RNA is filed under the name Trifolium pratense (red clover). RNAcentral's name for it is "long non-coding RNA (TPRA_LNC010413)". The record is from RNAcentral. Lineage: Eukaryota; Viridiplantae; Streptophyta; Magnoliopsida; Fabales; Fabaceae.
ACUCAUACACAUCCCAAUUACUUAUCUAAUAGUAAAUCAAAAUUUUAUCAAUUUUUCUUGACAGUUUAUCAAUUCGUCACUUAUAUGUUCAGAUCUGUCAAAAUAUACUACUAAAAGCGUGUUUUGUAGUGUAUUUGCAAAACCGCAUCUUUUAUGGGGUGAUUGAGAAAAUAUCUUUUUCUGUAAUGGAAGCCAAUUUUU